UACAGAGGGGGCAAGCGUUGUUCGGAAUUACUGGGCGUAAAGGGCGCGUAGGCGGCACAGCAAGUCGGGAGUGAAAGCCCGGGGCUCAACCCCGGAACUGCUUUCGAAACUGCUGAGCUAGAGUGCGGAAGGGGCAACCGGAAUUCCCAGUGUAGCGGUGAAAUGCGUAGAUAUUGGGAGGAACACCUAUGGCGAAGGCAGCUCGCUGGGACGUUACUGACGCUGAGACGCGAAAGCGUGGGGAGCAAACAGG
Molecule: ribosomal RNA, 253 nt
Filed under: uncultured bacterium
Lineage: Bacteria
Description: partial 16S ribosomal RNA
Rfam family: Bacterial small subunit ribosomal RNA
Source: RNAcentral